Molecule: ribosomal RNA, 253 nt
Filed under: uncultured bacterium
Lineage: Bacteria
Description: partial 16S ribosomal RNA
Rfam family: Bacterial small subunit ribosomal RNA
Source: RNAcentral
UACGAAGGGGGCUAGCGUUGUUCGGAACCACUGGGCGUAAAGGGCGCGUAGGCGGCUUUGUCAGUCGGGGGUGAAAGCCUGUGGCUCAACCACAGAAUUGCCUUCGAUACUGCAAGGCUUGAGACCGGAAGAGGUCAGUGGAACUGCGAGUGUAGAGGUGAAAUUCGUAGAUAUUCGCAAGAACACCAGUGGCGAAGGCGGCUGACUGGUCCGGAUCUGACGCUGAGGCGCGAAAGCGUGGGGAGCAAACAGG